UCCGGAGUAGCUCAACGGUAGAGCAGGCGGCUGUUAACCGCAAGGUUCAGGGUUCGAAUCCCUGCUCCGGAGCCA
This 75-nucleotide transfer RNA is filed under the name bacterium. Its description in RNAcentral is "tRNA-Asn". It matches the Rfam family "tRNA". From Rfam's summary of the family: Transfer RNA (tRNA) molecules are approximately 80 nucleotides in length. Their secondary structure includes four short double-helical elements and three loops (D, anti-codon, and T loops). Further hydrogen bonds mediate the characteristic L-shaped molecular structure. tRNAs have two regions of fundamental functional importance: the anti-codon, which is responsible for specific mRNA codon recognition, and the 3' end, to which the tRNAs corresponding amino acid is attached (by aminoacyl-tRNA synthetases). tRNAs cope with the degeneracy of the genetic code in two manners: having more than one tRNA (with a specific anti-codon) for a particular amino acid; and 'wobble' base-pairing, i.e. permitting non-standard base-pairing at the 3rd anti-codon position. The record is from RNAcentral. RNAcentral also lists the same sequence under 6 other names.